Long non-coding RNA from Haplochromis burtoni (Burton's mouthbrooder), 2637 nucleotides. RefSeq lists it as uncharacterized. NCBI's taxonomy places the organism in Eukaryota, Metazoa, Chordata, Actinopteri, Cichliformes, Cichlidae. The transcript has 2 exons. The record is from RefSeq and is a predicted model, not a curated record.
UUAAACCAAUAGAAGAAAUGGCACGGAGGUGAACGCGGCAGCCAGGAGCUUUUACGGAAGUGUGUGAAAGCAGAGUCACAUGAGCAGGCGGCCGCUUAAGAAACGGUACCCCGACAUGGACCUGGAGUCUCGAAUACGGUGACUGACGUCCACGGGUAGCACGGGAACAGCAGCGUCACGGCGUCUCGGGCCGCGGUGAACAUCUGUGAUGGACGAGAUUAAAGUGUCUCCGGACUACAACUGGUUCAGAAGCACGGUGCCACUGAAGAGAGUGAGUACACAGAGCUGCUCGGCCCACUGCGUCAUUAAGGAAGUACACACUUGUUAUGUCCUCUCUGUGCAUGCGAGGAAAAACAAACUCGCAUGCAGUUAGAAGCCAGGUUACUGUUUAGUACAGGUGCAUGGCGGAGGCGAGCUGGAACCGAAACUAUGAUCCGAGCUCACCGAGGCCUUCUGCUCCACUGAACCACAACAUGAAGAAAAAGCCAUUUUUAUUUAACUUUCGUGCUGGAUUGAGCAGUAUGAAAAACAAAAAUGUCAGUAGGCAGUCUAGAGUUUGCACAUGUAGUUCGACUAAUUACAAAAUGAUUGUUAAAUAUUUUUGCGAGCAUACCCUGGAGGAGUCGGGGAGAGUUUACAGGAAGUGGCAUUAGAAACACAACUUUGAGGGUUUUUUUUAACGUCUGUCCUAAAUUACAGACCCUGCUUUUGAUGUAAGACAAUUUAGACUUUUUUCUUUAAUAGUUUUUAAAUGCUCAUGUUCAAAUUUGGCCUCGGACUUUAAAGUGGGGAAAGGUGGGUGGAUAGGACUUUAAAAGUAAAUGUAUGUGAUAUAUGAAGGUAUAAUUUCAGAAUCAUCAUCAUCCAUGUCUGAGUUUUCAGAGAUGACUGAGCAGGAAACGCUCUAAAAACGUUGUUUGGAGCUGGAGUUGUUUAUGUUGUUAUACGUGUGUUUCUGACAUGGCAGUGUAUUUCAUUUUGAAAUGUCAUAGUGAUUGUGACCGUGCACAUGAAUACAUGGAGGGUUACACGUGGAUGCACAAGCAUUCUUGUGGUCAGAUCACCAGUCGUGUGCUCGGUGUGACCUUUGGCACUGAACAUGACAACAUCUCAUAUGAUCCACAGGAUUUUGGUGCAGCCGCAUUUGAGUUGCACCACAAACUAGUUUUACUACAUUAGUACAUUAGUACUACUAUGUACUAGUAUGUACCACGUUUCCCCCGUCCAUGUGUUAGAGCUGCUCUUCAUCACGACAUCUUGUCUUUAGUUCCAGUGACACUCCUCCAGGGAGAGUCACAGCAGCUUAGUUCUGCUCACACUAACACACUGCUGUUGGUGGUGCUGUCUGAACAUGGGUUCACUCUGUCGCCGUGCCAGGAAAUAGUUAGGCUCCAAGUGGUUAGUCUGUGAGCUACUGAAUGCCUGGCUGUCCUCAGAUCUGGUGUGCAUGAGGCUUUCUGCCACUGCAGACUUCCUGCUUUGUUGUCAUGUGAGCACUGAAGGCUUCUGUCCUUAACACAUGUUGGUCAGUCAGCCAUCUGUCACAUGGUCACAUUUAUACUGAUGUUGUGUGCAGUAGUCACAGGGCCGCUGCUUUCAGCAUCAUGUGCUCAGACAGCUAAACUAGGGCGGCAUGGACGAUAAAAAAAAUCUUUUGUUUCCAAGCUUCAUUUAAUCCACAGCUGUGCAGUGCCCAUAUUUGUGCAGUAGAGAGUAAAAAGUGUUCAAUUUCAAUUCAGUUUUAUUUGCACAGCGCCAAAUCACAGCAACAGUCGCCUCAAGGUGCUUUAUAUUAUAAGGUAGACCCUACAAUAGUACACACAGAGAAAACCCCAAAAAUCAUGACACCCCCCCCUCUAAGCAAUCACUUUGGCGACAGUGGGAUAGAAAAACUCCCUCUUAACAGGAGGUAACCUCAGGUAGAACCAGGCUCAGGGAGGGGCGGGGCCAUCUGCUGUGAUUGGUUGGGGUGAGAAGAGAAAGGCAGGAUAAAAGAUAUUAGAUAAAGAUUUAGCUACUAGCCAAAUCCAGUGGAGUGGUUUGGUUUAAACUAGAAUAAAACCAACAAUGGUCUUAAAAAUUAUAUAUUUUAAAAUAAAAUAAUUAAAGACACUACCCAAAAAUGGGUUUUAAUCUAGUUUAAACCAAAGCACUCCACUGGAUUCAGCUACACUUUGGACAGUUUGUCUCUGGAAUGAGUAGCUAGCGAGCUGAUUGGACACCAAAACAGCCAAUCAGAGUGUGUGUGUGUGUGUGUGUUAGCAAACACAUAUAAAUACAUUUCUUGCAAGCGGCAAUGAAUUUUCUUCACUCAAAAUAAUUUUCUCCUCAAAAUGCAACAUUUGUAUUUGCAAAAAUAACAGCAUAUACUGAGGCAUCCAACAGAAUGAAUGCUGGAUAGAAAGCACAUGCAUAGAAAAAUGCUUGGGUAGAGUAGAAGCAGUCCGUUUACCGCAGCAUAUGUAACAUGAGCCAGGCCUGCAGCACUCAUCAUUCUGUAUUUAGUGAACGCUGUAAUAAAACUCCAACAUGGAUACAUGUAGUGAGCAUUUAGUCACAGAUGGGCGGCACGUAGAAUGGCCAACAAAGAACCUGGCAUCACAUUCACGGUGAAUGAUGAAAUGAAUAUAAAAUGUA